CCCCUCUCAGAGUGGCACCUGGAGAGUUUUCAGUACUCUACUAAUCUCGACUAUGGGAGGGAGAGUCAAGCAGAGGCCUAUCCAUUCCAUUCCUAGCUUGGGCAGUGGCUAGCGAGUGGAAGGACAUCUGCUACAGGU
Tachyglossus aculeatus (Australian echidna) is the source of this 138-nucleotide small nucleolar RNA. The record is from RefSeq and is a predicted model, not a curated record. Lineage: Eukaryota; Metazoa; Chordata; Mammalia; Monotremata; Tachyglossidae.